GAGACCCACGCCAACAGUUGCCAGCUCGUCCUCCGGGAUGGAGGGGACACUGUUGGGACCGCCUCUGCUAAAGAGGAGGAAGGAAUGGGCAACGGUAGGUCAGCAUGCCCCGAACUAUCCGGGCUACACGCGGGCUACAAUGGGUGGGACAAUGGGUAUCGACACCGAAAGGUGAAGGCAAUCUCCUAAACCCAUCCUUAGUUCGGAUUGUGGGCUGCAACUCGCCCACAUGAAGCUGGAAUCCGUAGUAAUCGUGUCUCAAAAUGGCACGGUGAAUAU
RNAcentral lists this ribosomal RNA (279 nucleotides) under uncultured archaeon. Its description in RNAcentral is "partial 16S rRNA". It matches the Rfam family "Archaeal small subunit ribosomal RNA", at positions 1047 to 1325 of the family's 1478-position model. The record is from RNAcentral.